RNAcentral lists this ribosomal RNA (254 nucleotides) under uncultured bacterium. RNAcentral's name for it is "partial 16S ribosomal RNA". It matches the Rfam family "Bacterial small subunit ribosomal RNA", at positions 524 to 776 of the family's 1533-position model. The record is from RNAcentral.
UACGGGGGGCGCAAGCGUUGUUCGGAUUUACUGGGCGUAAAGGGCGCGUAGGCGGUCAGCACAGGUCAGUUGUGAAAUCUCCGGGCUUAACUCGGAAAGGUCAACUGAUACUGUGCGACUAGAGUGCGGAAGGGGCAACUGGAAUUCUCGGUGUAGCGGUGAAAUGCGUAGAUAUCGAGAGGAACACCUGCGGCGAAGGCGGGUUGCUGGGCCGACACUGACGCUGAUGCGCGAAAGCCAGGGGAGCGAACGGG